RNAcentral lists this ribosomal RNA (1380 nucleotides) under uncultured bacterium. RNAcentral describes it as "16S ribosomal RNA". It matches the Rfam family "Bacterial small subunit ribosomal RNA". The record is from RNAcentral.
UUCGCCCUUAGAGUUUGAUCCUGGCUCAGGACGAACGCUGGCGGCGCGCCUAACACAUGCAAGUCGAACGAGCGAGAGAGAGCUUGCUUUCUCGAGCGAGUGGCGAACGGGUGAGUAACGCGUGAGGAACCUGCCUCAAAGAGGGGGGCAACAGUUGGAAACGACUGCUAAUACCGCAUAAGCCCACGGCUCGGCAUCGAGCAGAGGGAAAAGGAGCAAUCCGCUUUGAGAUGGCCUCGCGUCCGAUUAGCUAGUUGGUGAGGUAACGGCCCACCAAGGCGACGAUCGGUAGCCGGACUGAGAGGUUGAACGGCCACAUUGGGACUGAGACACGGCCCAGACUCCUACGGGAGGCAGCAGUGGGGAAUAUUGCACAAUGGGGGAAACCCUGAUGCAGCGACGCCGCGUGGAGGAAGAAGGUCUUCGGAUUGUAAACUCCUGUUGUUGGGGAAGAUAAUGACGGUACCCAACAAGGAAGUGACGGCUAACUACGUGCCAGCAGCCGCGGUAAAACGUAGGUCACAAGCGUUGUCCGUGAAUUACUGGGUGUAAAGGGAGCGCAGGCGGGAAGACAAGUUGGAAGUGAAAUCUAUGGGCUCAACCCAUAAACUGCUUUCAAAACUGUUUUUCUUGAGUAGUGCAGAGGUAGGCGGAAUUCCCGGUGUAGCGGUGGAAUGCGUAGAUAUCGGGAGGAACACCAGUGGCGAAGGCGGCCUACUGGGCACCAACUGACGCUGAGGCUCGAAAGUGUGGGUAGCAAACAGGAUUAGAUACCCUGGUAGUCCACACCGUAAACGAUGAUUACUAGGUGUUGGAGGAUUGACCCCUUCAGUGCCGCAGUUAACACAAUAAGUAAUCCACCUGGGGAGUACGACCGCAAGGUUGAAACUCAAAGGAAUUGACGGGGCCCCGCACAAGCAGUGGAGUAUGUGGUUUAAUUCGACGCAACGCGAAGAACCUUACCAAGUCUUGACAUCCCUUGACGAUGCUGGAAACAGUAUUUCUCUUUGGAGCAAGGAGACAGGUGGUGCAUGGUUGUCGUCAGCUCGUGUCGUGAGAUGUUGGGUUAAGUCCCGCAACGAGCGCAACCCUUAUGGUCAGUUACUACGCAAGAGGACUCUGGCCAGACCGCCGUUGACAAAACGGAGGAAGGUGGGGAUGACGUCAAAUCAUCAUGCCCUUUAUGACUUGGGCUACACACGUACUACAAUGGCGUUAAACAAAGAGAAGCAAGACCGCGAGGUGGAGCAAAACUCAGAAACAACGUCCCAGUUCGGACUGCAGGCUGCAACUCGCCUGCACGAAGUCGGAAUUGCUAGUAAUCGUGGAUCAGCAUGCCACGGUGAAUACGUUCCCGGGCCUUGCACACACCGCCCGUCA